GAACGAACGCUGGCGGCCUGCCUACCCCAUGCAAGUCGAACGAGACCUUCGGGUCUAGUGGCGCACGGGUGCGUAACGCGUGGGAACCUGCCCUUAGGUUCGGAAUAACUCCCCGAAAGGGGUGCUAAUACCGGAUAAUGUCUUCGGACCAAAGAUUUAUCGCCUUUGGAUGGGCCCGCGUUGGAUUAGCUAGUUGGUAGGGUAAAAGCCUACCAAGGCGACGAUCCAUAGCUGGUCUGAGAGGAUGAUCAGCCACACUGGGACUGAGACACGGCCCAGACUCCUACGGGAGGCAGCAGUGGGGAAUAUUGGACAAUGGGCGAAAGCCUGAUCCAGCAAUGCCGCGUGAGUGAUGAAGGCCUUAGGGUUGUAAAGCUCUUUUACCCGGGAUGAUAAUGACAGUACCGGGAGAAUAAGCGCCGGCUAACUCCGUG
RNAcentral lists this ribosomal RNA (434 nucleotides) under uncultured bacterium. RNAcentral describes it as "partial 16S ribosomal RNA". It matches the Rfam family "Bacterial small subunit ribosomal RNA", at positions 27 to 507 of the family's 1533-position model. The record is from RNAcentral.